GACGGGGGGGGGCAAGUGUUCUUCGGAAUGACUGGGCGUAAAGGGCACGUAGGCGGUGAAUCGGGUUGAAAGUGAAAGUCGCCAAAAAAGUGGCGGAAUGCUCUCGAAACCAAUUCACUUGAGUGAGACAGAGGAGAGUGGAAUUUCGUGUGUAGGGGGUGAAAUCCGUAGAUCUACGAAGGAACGCCAAGAGCGAAGGCAGCUCUCUGGGUCCCUACCGACGCUGGGGUGCGAAAGCAUGGGGGAGCGAACAGG
RNAcentral lists this ribosomal RNA (255 nucleotides) under uncultured bacterium. RNAcentral describes it as "partial 16S ribosomal RNA". It matches the Rfam family "Bacterial small subunit ribosomal RNA", at positions 524 to 776 of the family's 1533-position model. The record is from RNAcentral.